GUGGGGAAUUUUGGACAAUGGGCGCAAGCCUGAUCCAGCAAUGCCGCGUGCAGGAAGAAGGCCUUCGGGUUGUAAACUGCUUUUGUACGGAACGAAACGGUCCUGGUUAAUACCUGGGGCUAAUGACGGUACCGUAAGAAUAAGCACCGGCUAACUACGUGCCAGCAGCCGCGGUAAUACGUAGGGUGCGAGCGUUAAUCGGAAUUACUGGGCGUAAAGCGUGCGCAGGCGGUGCUGUAAGACAGGCGUGAAAUCCCCGGGCUCAACCUGGGAAUUGCGCUUGUGACUGCAGUGCUGGAGUACGGCAGAGGGGGAUGGAAUUCCGCGUGUAGCAGUGAAAUGCGUAGAUAUGCGGAGGAACACCGAUGGCGAAGGCAGUCCCCUGGGCAUGUACUGACGCUCAUGCACGAAAGCGUGGGGAGCAAACAGGAUUAGAUACCCUGGUAGUCC
Molecule: ribosomal RNA, 450 nt
Filed under: uncultured bacterium
Lineage: Bacteria
Description: partial 16S ribosomal RNA
Rfam family: Bacterial small subunit ribosomal RNA
Source: RNAcentral